Molecule: ribosomal RNA, 508 nt
Filed under: uncultured bacterium
Lineage: Bacteria
Description: bacterial SSU rRNA
Rfam family: Bacterial small subunit ribosomal RNA
Source: RNAcentral
UUAUGGCUCAGGAUGAACGCUAGCGGCAGGCUUAACACAUGCAAGUCGAGGGGCAUCGGGAGUAGCAAUACUUGCCGGCGACCGGCGCAAGGGUGCGUAACGCGUGAGCAACAUGCCCGUAUCAGGGGGGAUAAUCCAUGGAAACGUGGUCUAAUACCCCAUAGUAAUUAUGUAAGGCAUCUUAUAUAAUUUAAAGCUUUGGUGGAUACGGAUUGGCUCGCGUGACAUUAGCUAGAUGGUAAGGUAACGGCUUACCAUGGCUACGAUGUCUAGGGGUUCUGAGAGGAAGGUCCCCCACACUGGAACUGAGACACGGUCCAGACUCCUACGGGAGGCAGCAGUGAGGAAUAUUGGACAAUGGAUGGAAAUCUGAUCCAGCCAUGCCGCGUGCAGGAAAGACGGCCCUAUGGGUUGUAACUGCUUUUGUAUGGGAGCAAUAAGGGCUACGUGUAGUCCGAUGAGAGUACCAUACGAAUAAGCCACCGGCUAACUCCGUGCCAGCCGCAGC